AGAUGAAAUUUGUUCUUUUUACUUUGUUCCUUUGUGGAUUCAUCCUGGAAAUCAAUGGAAAAAGUUCAUCAGGAGCAUGGCUCCCAGAGAAAAAAUCCCUUGUUGCCUGUGAAGGAACAGU
Molecule: long non-coding RNA, 121 nt
Organism: Xiphophorus maculatus (southern platyfish)
Lineage: Eukaryota; Metazoa; Chordata; Actinopteri; Cyprinodontiformes; Poeciliidae
Exons: 3
Source: RefSeq, a predicted model, not a curated record